Molecule: long non-coding RNA, 408 nt
Filed under: Elaeis guineensis (African oil palm)
Lineage: Eukaryota; Viridiplantae; Streptophyta; Magnoliopsida; Arecales; Arecaceae
Description: long non-coding RNA (EGUI_LNC000252)
Source: RNAcentral
CACCGUGGCAGAGCCUUUAACCAAUAUAAGUGCAUUAAACCUUUUUUUUUUUGGUUUCCUUAGACGAGCCUUAGGAAGGACUUGGACGGUUGAAUGACUGAUUCUGUUCUACUAACGAAUGACUGAUUCAUGCAGUGCAUAAAAGAGGAAACAUUGGAUGGAUGCGAUCUCCUACAUGGUUGGGUAAUUUCUUAUGAUAAACCAUGAAAAGUUCAUCUUGAUGCAUUUCUUUUAUUUUUCUCAACAGAUCAAACCAAGUACUGACAGGAUAAAAGCGAAGAAGCCGUAAGAGACCCCCCCACCCCCUUGGGGAACAAAAAAAAAAAAAAAAAUCAUUGGAGAACGAAAUCAUGAAAUAUUUCCUGUUAAGAUCAGACAUAAGGUGCAAGGCUUUUCAUUGAGCAUUUC